This 69-nucleotide transfer RNA is filed under the name Plethodon dunni (western tan-backed salamander). RNAcentral's name for it is "tRNA-His". It matches the Rfam family "tRNA". From Rfam's summary of the family: Transfer RNA (tRNA) molecules are approximately 80 nucleotides in length. Their secondary structure includes four short double-helical elements and three loops (D, anti-codon, and T loops). Lineage: Eukaryota; Metazoa; Chordata; Amphibia; Caudata; Plethodontidae. The record is from RNAcentral.
GCAUACAUAAUUUAAUAAAAAUAUUAGGCUGUGGUCCUAAAAAUGAAAGUUAGACUCUUUCUGUAAACC